Long non-coding RNA from Etheostoma cragini (Arkansas darter), 115 nucleotides. RefSeq lists it as uncharacterized. The record is from RefSeq and is a predicted model, not a curated record. The transcript is spliced from 3 exons. Lineage: Eukaryota; Metazoa; Chordata; Actinopteri; Perciformes; Percidae.
AAAACAUAUGCUGAAGAGUAGACUACAACAGAAUAAGACAGACAUGAAAUACAAGAAUAAAGGUUAGAGUACAAUGUAAGAAAUGAACAAUUACUUAAAGAAAGGCAGCAUCAAA